This 1441-nucleotide unclassified non-coding RNA is filed under the name Zea mays. RNAcentral describes it as "misc RNA Zm00001eb229970". The record is from RNAcentral. Lineage: Eukaryota; Viridiplantae; Streptophyta; Magnoliopsida; Poales; Poaceae.
GUCAGUCACCCGCGGCGCCAGCGAGGCGGAGGCGGCGAUGGCUUCGAGCCACUCGACCACCUGCCGCGCCGUCGGCCGCGACUUGGGGUUAUCGUUGACGCAGGCGCACGCCACGUCCAGCACCAUCGCCGCCUCCUCCCGGUGCUUCCUCUCGUCGACGCUGGCGUCGAUCACCUCGUCGCCCCUGGCCUCGCGCCGCAUCCGCACCGCCCACGACGUCACGUCCCGGCCGCCGCCGACUGGCCGCGCCAUGUCCACCGGCCGCCGCCCCGUCACGAGCUCCAGCAGCACCACGCCGAGGCUGUACACGUCCCCGCGGUAGGUGGCCACCGACGAGCUCCCGUACUCCGGCGGGAUGUACCCCAGCGUGCCCACCAGGUCCGUCGUCACGUGCGUGUCCGUCGGGAGCACCAGCCUGGCCAGCCCGAAGUCCGCCAGCUUGGGCUCCAGCCGCGCGUCCAGGAGGAUGUUGCUCGACUUGAUGUCCCGGUGCAGGACGCGCGGCUCCGACGACGCGUGCAGGUGCGCCAGCCCGCGCGCCGCGCCGCGUGCGAUGCCCAGCCGGGCCGGCCACGCCAGCGCGCCGCCGCCUCGCUCGUGGAGCCAGUGGUCAAGGCUGCCGUUCUCCAUGUACGGGUAGAUGAGCAGCCGGUCCUUGCCCGCACGGCAGUAGCCCUGCAGCGGCACCAGGUUCCGGUGCCGCACGCGCGACAGCGUCUCCACCUCGGCGCGGAACUCGCGCUCCAUCUGCCAGAAAUCGCCGGACAGCCGCUUCACCGCCACCUCGCUCCCGUCCGCCAGCGUCGCGCGGUACACCAUCCCGAAACCGCCGCACCCGACGAUGCAGGAUGCGUCGAAGUUGCGCGUCGCCUUCAUCACGUCCUCCAGCGUCAUCGCGCGCUCGCCUUCGUCGCUAUCCUCCUCAUCGCCGGCCGGGAAGAGCAGUACCAGCGUGGACUUCGCCGCCGACUCGAGGCUGCCGUCGUCGUCGUCGUCGUCGUCUGCCGCCACUCUGGCGUUGUCCUCCUGCCGCUUUGACCACACGCGCCACGUCACGGCCGCGGCUACGGCGACGAGCAGCGCCGUCGCGACGCCGAUCGCCGCCGCGACGCCGGUGCCGGCGCUCCGCUCCUGCUUGCCUCCCCCGCCGCCGUCGACCGUGCGCGGCGGCUCGUCCUUCCGCGUGCACCGCGCCACGUGGAUGCCGCACAGCAGCGGGUUCCCCUGGAAGUCCCCCCGCGAGAACGUGGAGAACUGCCCGCCCACGGGGACCUCGCCGGAGAGGUUGUUGAACGAGACGUCGAAGUGGGAGAGGAAGCUGAGCUGCGUCAGCGACGCCGGGAUCACGCCGGAGAGCGCGUUGUUGGACAUGUCCAGCGACUCGAGGCUCGUCAUCCCCGACAGGUCCGGUGGGAUGGGUCCCGACAGCCUGUUCCAGCUC